UACAGAGGGUGCGAGCGUUGUCCGGAAUCACUGGGCGUAAAGGGCGCGUAGGCGGCCUGAUAAGUCGGGGGUGAAAUCCUGUGGCUCAACCACAGGGCUGCCUCCGGGACUGUCGGGCUCGAGCACAGUAGAGGCAGGUGGAAUUCCCGGUGUAGCGGUGAAAUGCGUAGAUAUCGGGAGGAAUACCAGUGGCGAAGGCGGCCUUCUGGACGGAUACUGACGCUGAGGCGCGAAAGCCAGGGGAGCAAACGGG
This 253-nucleotide ribosomal RNA is filed under the name uncultured bacterium. RNAcentral describes it as "partial 16S ribosomal RNA". It matches the Rfam family "Bacterial small subunit ribosomal RNA", at positions 524 to 776 of the family's 1533-position model. The record is from RNAcentral.